RNAcentral lists this ribosomal RNA (275 nucleotides) under uncultured bacterium. Its description in RNAcentral is "partial 16S ribosomal RNA". It matches the Rfam family "Bacterial small subunit ribosomal RNA", at positions 84 to 354 of the family's 1533-position model. The record is from RNAcentral.
CCCGCCGGCGACCGGCGCACGGGUGAGUAACACGUAUGAAACCUGCCCGUAGCAGGGGGAUAAGCGGAAGAAAUUCCGUCUAAUACCGCGUAACAACCCAUGGAGGCAUCUCUGUGGGGUUUAAAGGAAGCGAUUCCGGCUACGGAUGGUCAUGCGUCGCAUUAGCUUGUUGGCGGGGUAACGGCCCACCAAGGCGACGAUGCGUAGGGGUUCUGAGAGGAAGGUCCCCCACACUGGUACUGAGACACGGACCAGACUCCUACGGGAGGCAGCAG